RNAcentral lists this ribosomal RNA (645 nucleotides) under Uropetala carovei. RNAcentral describes it as "partial 28S ribosomal RNA". The record is from RNAcentral. Lineage: Eukaryota; Metazoa; Arthropoda; Insecta; Odonata; Petaluridae.
AAUUUAAGGAUAUUAAUAAGGGGAGGAAAAGAAAGUAAGAGGGAUUGGGGUAGUAAGGGGGAGGGAAGAGGGAUGAAUUGGAGGGGGGAAGGUGGGGUGGGGUAGGGGGUGGGGAGGGGUGUGGGGUUUGGGAGGGGGGGGUUUGGGGGGAGGUGGGGGAGAGUGGAAGUGGGUGUUGAAGGGGGGGAGGGGGGAGAGAGGGUGGGAGGGGGGUGGGAGGUGGGGGGGGGGGGGGGGGGAGGGAGGGUGGUGAGAGUGGGGUUGGUUGAGAGUGGAGGGGAAAGUGGGUGGUAAAGUGGAGGUAAGAGUGAAUAGGGGGAGGAGAGGGAUAGGGAAGAAGUAGGGUGAGGGAAAGUUGAAAAGAAGUUUGAAGAGAGAGUUGAAGAGUAGGUGAAAGGGUGUGGGAGUAAAGGGGUGGUAGGGGAAAGUUGGAAAGGGGAGAUUGAGGUGUGGGGGGGGGUGGGGGGGGUGGGGGGAGGAGAGAUGGGGGGUGGGAGGGGCGGGGGGAAGGGGGGGUGGGGAGGUGGGAGUGGGGGGGGGGGGGGGGUGGGGGGGUGGGAGUGAGGGAGUUGUGGGGGAGUAGGAGGUGGGGAGGGGUGGAGGGGGUGGGUAAGGUGGGGGGUGGAGGGUGUGGAGGGUGGUGAG